GUGAUAUUUUUGAAGGUAGAUUUAUUAUUAAACUUACUGCAUGCAUACUAUAAUAACUGAAAAAUUAUUAGUUACAUUAGGAAUAUAUAUUUUCAUGAUAUUCAAUUAUCUCAUUUCUAAACCAGUUAAUUAACAUGUUCUGAUUCGCCCUAAUUUAACUCGUACUUUGGGAUUCAAAUGAUAUAGAAAUUGUAUGAAAUUCUGUCAAUUAUUUUGUUUUAUUUGUGUUGUCAUUUUAAGCCAAGAUCCCUACAUGACCUUAAUCUCUCAGAUUACAAAAGGUAUUUCAUCACAACGUAUUUGUUAACAAAGGAACAUAUGUCAAUAUUUGAGAUUUAAUCUAUUGUUAUUCAAAUAGAUCUACACGUAAAAGGCAAAGUAGGGAUCUAUCAACAUAAGUAUACUGUCAAAGUAAAUUUAUAACUUAAUUUUUGUCAAUAAUCAUUGGAUUUGUUUUUUUAUAGAAUGACACUAAUGUUUGAUGACAAUUAGCUGAUAACAAUGCAUAUAUUUGUAUACAUGAAAAACAGUCGACAGAAAAAACAUUUGGACAUAAAAGAAUGAUGAGGACAUCAAAUUAAGUUUCAAGGGGAAAAGACAAGUUGAACCUCAAAACAAGUUUUUACAUGAUUAUUUGACACAGUGUCUUCGUAGAUGAAAAUAAUCAGGAUCCAGUGGUGAACGUUUAGUAUAUCAGAAAUAUUCACAUGGAGGAGUAUAUCUCCAAAUUUAAUACUUUUAAG
Ruditapes philippinarum (Manila clam) is the source of this 743-nucleotide long non-coding RNA. RefSeq lists it as uncharacterized. Lineage: Eukaryota; Metazoa; Mollusca; Bivalvia; Venerida; Veneridae. The record is from RefSeq and is a predicted model, not a curated record. The transcript has 2 exons.